This is a transfer RNA of 73 nucleotides. It matches the Rfam family "tRNA". From Rfam's summary of the family: Transfer RNA (tRNA) molecules are approximately 80 nucleotides in length. Their secondary structure includes four short double-helical elements and three loops (D, anti-codon, and T loops). Further hydrogen bonds mediate the characteristic L-shaped molecular structure. tRNAs have two regions of fundamental functional importance: the anti-codon, which is responsible for specific mRNA codon recognition, and the 3' end, to which the tRNAs corresponding amino acid is attached (by aminoacyl-tRNA synthetases). tRNAs cope with the degeneracy of the genetic code in two manners: having more than one tRNA (with a specific anti-codon) for a particular amino acid; and 'wobble' base-pairing, i.e. permitting non-standard base-pairing at the 3rd anti-codon position. The record is from Rfam.
GAUGAUGUAGUUUAAUUGGUAGAACGUAGGAAUCAUAAUCCUAAUGUUAUAGGUUCAAGUCCUAUCAUCAUUA